GCUCCGGCCGGCCCGAGCUCCGCUCCCACAGAGCCCCGGGCACAGAGGAGCGUGUCAGUGCCAGCCUGCCGCGAUGUUUGUAAUGUCAAAACCCAGUAAUUCACCUUAAGGCAAUCCUUGCAUGCCAGCGAUCCCAGGCAUGGUGAAAGAGUCCUGCACACUGCAUCACUGGUGACUUUCUUGCUCCUGUUGGACUUUCCAAACACUGGAAGAGGCUAGGAGAUACUGGGCAGCAUUUCCCUCUCUGAUAAGUUGCCACGAGCUUGUGGGAAGACCUGAAUGCAGUGUCAGAGAAGGACUGAUGUGAAGUGGACUAGCUCCAGUCACAGCUGCAAGAGCCAAAUGCAAAUGUUUAAACACUCCUUCCCAGAGGCUGAAGGUAUGACAUUCUUUGUCAUCCUUCCAAUGUCUCUAAAGAAUAGGAUUAAAUGAUUUUACUUUUACAAGCCUGCAGGGAUCCAACUUAAAAUGACAAGAAUUUAAAGAGAGACUUACCUGAGACCUUACCCUACCCUGCUCUGAGAGCAUCCCUGUGGUUGAAUUGCUUCUGUAAAAGGUGAAGGAAAGAUUUUGGUUGAUGGCAACGCUGUCAGAAUUUCACCUGUUAACUGCAGACAGACUGGAGCUUUGCACUCACACAGCUUGCAGGAUCGAAUCCCCGAUGUGACAGGAAGCAAAAUAUUUGCCAUGUGUUUCAUUUCAGUUUUAAGCACUUCAGGUUUUGAAUCCUCUUGGUUAAGUAAUUGAUGUUUGAAUGCCCUGUCUCCUGCUUGGUAUUUUAAAAUAAACCUUGCUACAGCACAGAUUAUGAAUCAAAACAGCUGCUGAAGCUGAAAGUGUACUUAAGCAGCAAGAUGGCUCUUUGUGAAUCAUAGUAACUAGUCUUACAUAUAUUACUUCAGCAUCUAGGGAGCUAAAUUUCAUGUACUUUGGUUUAAAAAAAAUCAUUAUAUAGAUCUGGUGUUUACAGAUUUUUUGAUGUCUUCCCGUCAC
Long non-coding RNA from Ficedula albicollis (Collared flycatcher), 993 nucleotides. RefSeq lists it as uncharacterized. The transcript has 3 exons. The record is from RefSeq and is a predicted model, not a curated record. Lineage: Eukaryota; Metazoa; Chordata; Aves; Passeriformes; Muscicapidae.